Molecule: long non-coding RNA, 609 nt
Filed under: Phoenix dactylifera (date palm)
Lineage: Eukaryota; Viridiplantae; Streptophyta; Magnoliopsida; Arecales; Arecaceae
Description: long non-coding RNA (PDAC_LNC017736)
Source: RNAcentral
UCAUAAUACCACAUCGUGGACCUGGAAAUACUACAUUUGCCCAAUGCUUCGGAUUUGCAUGCAGGAGAAAAGUUCUACUCCCUGGAGCAUCUAAUGUAAGCUUGCUAAUUAAUUUGUGGAAAACAUUCAGCCUUAGAGUAUAAGCAGCAGCAUUUAGUAAAUCGAGCAGCCUCUUUCUCUCACUUGCACAAUAAUGGACAAGCACCUGCAUUAACAAUAAUAAAAGGAUGAGAUCAUCAACAUCCUAAAUUAGUUAGAUAUAUUGUAUGCUGAAAAUUAAAAAUAUGACUAUACAUACCUGAUUCUUGAAGUUGUCUUUCACAUAACGGAAACAAUAUGAGUGGCAACUACCAGAAAAGUACUUCGGCACUGAUUUAAUAAUUCCUUGAUGUCUAUCCGUCAUAAAUGUGAUUUGCUCACUUCGCCACUCAAUGCAACUAUGAAUUGCUUCUUUCAAAUUCCGACAAAACCAGUCCCAAUUGUCAUCAGUCUCCGUAUCGACCACACCGUAAGCAAUAGGAAACAUAUCGUCGUUCGCAUCUUUGGAAGUCGCGCCAAGAACUACUCCUCCAUCCUUAUGCUUUAUAAAUGUUCCAUCCAUAAAAAUCA